GCAAGUCGAACGAAGUAGCAAUACUUAGUGGCAGACGGGUGAGUAACAUGUAGGUAUCUACCCUUUGGUGAGGAAUAACACGAGGAAACUUGUGCUAAUACCUCAUAAGUCUUUACGGAGAAAGCUUUAUGCGCCGAAGGAUGAGCCUGCACUUGAUUAGUUUGUUGGUGGGGUAAUGGCCUACCAAGACUUUGAUCUAUAGCUGAUCUGAGAGGAUGAUCAGCCACAUUGGGACUGAGACACGGCCCAAACUCCUACGGGAGGCAGCAGUAGGGAAUAUUGCACAAUGGAGGAAACUCUGAUGCAGCGAUGCCGCGUGAGUGAAGAAGGCCUUUGGGUUGUAAAGCUCUUUCGUCGGGGAAGAAAAUGACUGUACCCGAAUAAGAAGGUCCGGCUAACUUCGUGCCAGCAGCCGCGGUAAUACGAAGGGACCUAGCGUAGUUCGGAAUUACUGGGCUUAAAGAGUUCGUAGGUGGUUAAAAAAGUUGGUGGUGAAAUCCCAGAGCUUAACUCUGGAACUGCCAUCAAAACUUUUUAGCUAGAGUAUGAUAGAGGAAAGCAGAAUUUCUAGUGUAGAGGUGAAAUUCGUAGAUAUUAGAAAGAAUACCAAUUGCGAAGGCAGCUUUCUGGAUCAUUACUGACGCUGAGGAACGAAAGCAUGGGUAGCGA
RNAcentral lists this ribosomal RNA (669 nucleotides) under uncultured marine bacterium. Its description in RNAcentral is "bacterial SSU rRNA". It matches the Rfam family "Bacterial small subunit ribosomal RNA", at positions 57 to 771 of the family's 1533-position model. The record is from RNAcentral.